UUGACCUCGAAUCAGGUAGGAAUACGCGCUGAACUUAAGCAUAUCAAUAAGCGCAGGAAAAGAAACCAACAGGGAUUGCCUCAGUAACGGCGAGUGAAGCGGCAACAGCUCAAAUUUGAAAUCUGGCCUCUUGGGGCCCGAGUUGUAAUUUGUAGAGGAUGUUUUGGGUACCGCCCCGGUUUAAAUUUCUUGGAACAGAAUGUCAAAGAGGGUGAGAAUCCCGUCUUGGACCGGCGGUAGGGCCUGUGUAAAACUCCUUCGACGAGUCGAGUUGUUUGGGAAUGCAGCUCAAAAUGGGUGGUAAAUUUCAUCUAAAGCUAAAUAUUGGCCAGAGACCGAUAGCGCACAAGUAGAGUGAUCGAAAGAUGAAAAGCACUUUGAAAAGAGAGUUAAACAGUAUGUGAAAUUGUUGAAAGGGAAGCGCUUGCAACCAGACUUGCGCGCGGCGGUUCCCCUUGCCUUUUGGCCAGGGUACUCCGCCGCGUCCAGGCCAACAUCGGUUUUGGGGGCCAGUUAAAGGCCCUGGGAAUGUACCUACCCACGGGUAGACUUAUAGACCAGGGUGCCAUGUGGCCUCCCGGGACCGAGGAACGCGCUUCGGCUCGGAUGUUGGCGUAAUGGUUGUCAGCGACCCGUCUUGAAACACGGACCAAGGAGUCUAACAUCUAUGCGAGUGUUUGGGUGUCAAACCCGGAACGCGGAAUGAAAGUGAACGGAGGUAGGAAGCUUCGGCUGCACUAUCGACCGAUCCUGAAGUUUACGGAUGGAUUUGAGUAAGAGCAUAGCUGUUGGGACCCGAAAGAUGGUGAACUAUGCCUGAAUAGGGUGAAGCCAGAGGAAACUCUGGUGGAGGCUCGCAGCGGUUCUGACGUGCAAAUCGAUCGUCAAAUUUGGGUAUAGGGGCGAAAGACUAAUCGAACCAUCUGGUAGCUGGUUCCUGCCGAAGUUUCCCUCAGGAUAGCAGUAACGUUUUCAGUUUUAUGAGGUAAAGCGAAUGAUUAGAGGCCUUGGGGUUGAAACAACCUUAACCUAUUCUCAAACUUUAAAUAUGUAAGAAGUCCUUGUUACUUAAUUGAACGUGGACAUUUGAAUGUACCGUUACUAGUGGGCCAUUUUUGGUAAGCAGAACUGGCGAUGCGGGAUGAACCGAACGUGAGGUUAAGGUGCCGGAAUGUACGCUCAUCAGACACCACAAAAGGUGUCAAUGCAUCUAGACAGCCGGACGGUGGCCAUGGAAGUCGGAAUCCGCUUAGGAGUGUGUAACAACUCACCGGCCGAAUGCAUUGGCCCUGAAAAUGGAUGGCGCUUAAGCGUGCUACCUAUACCUCGCCGUUAGGGUUGACAUGAUGCCCUAACGAGUAGGCAGGCGUGGAGGUCCGUGACGAAGCCUUGGGGGUGACCCCGGGUCGAACGACCUCUAGUGCAGAUCU
This 1430-nucleotide ribosomal RNA is filed under the name Chaetothyriales sp. CN-Cre-Bo1-1. RNAcentral's name for it is "partial 28S ribosomal RNA". It matches the Rfam family "Eukaryotic large subunit ribosomal RNA", at positions 1 to 1451 of the family's 3401-position model. The record is from RNAcentral. Lineage: Eukaryota; Fungi; Ascomycota; Eurotiomycetes; Chaetothyriales.